RNAcentral lists this non-coding RNA (27 nucleotides) under Mus musculus (house mouse). Lineage: Eukaryota; Metazoa; Chordata; Mammalia; Rodentia; Muridae. The record is from RNAcentral.
UGCUGAGCUAUUGAGAGAGACUCAGAA